CCUACGGGUGGCAGCAGUGAGGAAUAUUGGUCAAUGGGCGGGAGCCUGAACCAGCCAAGCCGCGUGAGGGAAGAAGGUACAGCGUAUCGUAAACCUCUUUUGUCAGGGAACAAAGGCGGGGACUAGUCCCUGGAUGAGGGUACCUGAAGAAAAAGCAUCGGCUAACUCCGUGCCAGCAGCCGCGGUAAUACGGAGGAUGCGUGCGUUAUCCGGGUUUAUUGGGUUUAAGGGGUGCGCAGGCGGCGUGUAACGUCAGCGGUAAAAGCCCGGGGCCAAACCCCUGCGAGCCGUGGAACCUGGCGGGCUGGAGUGGGAGAGAGGUACGCGGAAUGCGCGGGGUAGCGGUGAAAUGCGUAGAUAUAGCGCAGAACACCGAUUGCGAAGGCAGAGUACCGGCUCCAAACUGACGCUGAGGCACGAAAGCGUGGGUAUCGAACAGGAUUAGAUACCCGGGUAGUC
RNAcentral lists this ribosomal RNA (459 nucleotides) under uncultured bacterium. RNAcentral's name for it is "partial 16S ribosomal RNA". It matches the Rfam family "Bacterial small subunit ribosomal RNA", at positions 338 to 795 of the family's 1533-position model. The record is from RNAcentral.